Non-coding RNA from Pelobates cultripes (western spadefoot toad), 1260 nucleotides. The record is from the annotation of a GenBank genome assembly. NCBI's taxonomy places the organism in Eukaryota, Metazoa, Chordata, Amphibia, Anura, Pelobatidae.
UUCAGUACUUCCUGGACUGAACUAAAAUCUAAUUUCAUCCAAGUUUCAAGUUUUUGACUGCAAUUUCAAAAUCGCAACACAAGUAGGAAACAUCGCUGUAUUGAAACAUACAAAUGUAAAUCAAAAACGUUUCAUAAUACAUUUUAUCCGUGAAUAAUAUUUUUUACUUUGGAAUAUGAACUAAUAAUUACAAAAAAUAAUUACCUCAGUAUAAACAAAUAAGGGAUACAAUUAAGCCAUGUGGGAGGAGUCAAGUUAGCAGAUCAGCAACACACUGAUCUUUCAUUGGCUGAGCUGCAGUGGCGAAACUAAUGAAGUGCAAGAAAAAGGUUUGGGUCACUCUCUAGCGCAAGAUUGGCGAAAAGAUAGAUCCCCAUCUGUCAUACAACUCUCACUGUGCUUUGCCAACUGGGGAUCUACCGUUGGCCAAUCCUUGCAGGGUUGUAUUUGUGAGAAGCGUUUGUGCAUUUGAAUGUAAGUGUUUUUCUGUAUAGAGUAUGUGUGUGAAUAUAGGGGUGUAUUUGUAUGUACUAGUGCCAUUGGAAUGCAGUCAUGUACUUGUGUGUAGCGUUUGCGUUUGAUUCCAAGGGUGUGUUUGUAUGUAAUGUUAGCUUUUAAAUGUAGGUGUGCUUUUGUGUGUAGAUUUGGUGCUUGUAUAUCACUUUAGUGUUUCAAUACAGGGGCUGUGUUUGUAUAUAAUGAUUGCAUUUGCAUGCAGGGAUAUGUGGAUGUAGUGUUUUGUUUUUAAUUGUGUGUGGUGUUGGUGUUUGAGUGAAGGGGUGUGCUUGUAUAAUAUUUUGGAGUUUGCAUGUUGUGUUGGUGUUUGAUUGCUGGGAUGAUGCACAUACAUAAGUACAUAGAUAUACAUACACAUUAACAUACAGAUACACACAUUUAAACACACACAUAGACACAAAGAUACAUACACCUGUAAACAAGCAUACACUUUGAAAUAUACACACACCAUGACAGACAGGUACACACACUGACACAUAUACACACACACUGGCACAUACACACUCUGACACACAGAUCCACACUCUGGCAUAUAUACACACUCAGAUACACACAGUGAUCCAUACCUAAACACACAGAUGUACAAACACAGAUAUACACCUACUGGAACAUACACACAGAUACUCACAUACAUAUACACACAGAUAUACAAACCCUGGCACACACACAGAUACACAUUUUGACACAGAUAUAAACACACUGGAAUACACACACAGGUAUACACACUGAUACACACUAGCUCAC